GAGACUCUGUGCGCGUGCAUAUCAAUAAGCGGAGGAAAAGAAACUAACAAGGAUUCCCCUAGUAACGGCGAGUGAAGCGGGAAGAGCUCAAAUUUGAAAUCUUAAAGGGUUUCCCUUUACGAAUUGUAGUUUAAAGAAGUGUUUUCUGUUGGAGUUUCGGUAAAAGUUCUUUGGAAUAGGACAUCAUAGAGGGUGAGAAUCCCGUAUUUGACCGUUACUUUCCAGCUGUGUGAUAUACUUUCAGAGAGUCGGAUUGUUUGGGAAUGCAGUCCAAGAUGGGUGGUAAAUUUCAUCUAAAGCUAAAUAUUGGCGAGAGACCGAUAGCGAACAAGUACCGUGAGGGAGAGAUGAAAAGAACUUUGAAAAGAGAGUUAAACAGUACGUGAAAUUGUCAAAAGGGAAGCGUUUGACACCAGUGUUGUUUUCUCGAAAAUCAAUUAAAAAAGCCUGAUUUUGUGUUGUAUUGACCUUAAAAGCUUUCUUCACUCCUUUCUUGUCUUUUUAAUGCACUUUUCGUUUAACAAGUCAACAUCAGUUUCUUUUGUUGUAAAAGGGUCAUUGGAAGGUGGCUUUCUUUUCGGAGAAAGUGUUUAUAGCCUUUGAUGCUCUGCAAUCGGAGAGACUGAGGUCUGCAGCGUAGACUCUUCGGGGUUAGGAUACAGUUUGUGCUAAGCUAUAGCUUUUAUAGACAACUUGUUAGACUAUAGUUUAGUCUUGUAGCUUACUCGCUGAUGCUAUUUUACCUACGCUUAGGAUGUUGACAGCAGUAUAGACUGU
RNAcentral lists this ribosomal RNA (777 nucleotides) under uncultured Neocallimastigales. RNAcentral's name for it is "partial large subunit ribosomal RNA". It matches the Rfam family "Eukaryotic large subunit ribosomal RNA", at positions 23 to 633 of the family's 3401-position model. The record is from RNAcentral. Lineage: Eukaryota; Fungi; Neocallimastigomycota; Neocallimastigomycetes; Neocallimastigales.